CCUACGGGGGGCUGCAGUGGGGAAUAUUGCACAAUGGGCGCAAGCCUGAUGCAGCCAUGCCGCGUGUGUGAAGAAGGCCUUCGGGUUGUAAAGCACUUUCAGCGGGGAGGAAGGCGGUGAGGUUAAUAACCUCAUCGAUUGACGUUACCCGCAGAAGAAGCACCGGCUAACUCCGUGCCAGCAGCCGCGGUAAUACGGAGGGUGCAAGCGUUAAUCGGAAUUACUGGGCGUAAAGCGCACGCAGGCGGUCUGUCAAGUCGGAUGUGAAAUCCCCGGGCUCAACCUGGGAACUGCAUUCGAAACCGGCAGGCUAGAGUCUUGUAGAGGGGGGUAGAAUUCCAGGUGUAGCGGUGAAAUGCGUAGAGAUCUGGAGGAAUACCGGUGGCGAAGGCGGCCCCCUGGACAAAGACUGACGCUCAGGUGCGAAAGCGUGGGGAGCAAACAGGAUUAGAUACCCCGGUAGUC
RNAcentral lists this ribosomal RNA (465 nucleotides) under uncultured Klebsiella sp. RNAcentral's name for it is "bacterial SSU rRNA". It matches the Rfam family "Bacterial small subunit ribosomal RNA", at positions 338 to 795 of the family's 1533-position model. The record is from RNAcentral. Lineage: Bacteria; Pseudomonadati; Pseudomonadota; Gammaproteobacteria; Enterobacterales; Enterobacteriaceae.